Molecule: ribosomal RNA, 914 nt
Filed under: uncultured bacterium
Lineage: Bacteria
Description: bacterial SSU rRNA
Rfam family: Bacterial small subunit ribosomal RNA
Source: RNAcentral
AACGAACGCUGGCGGCGUGGAUAACACUUUCAAGUCGAGCGAGAUUUUUUCCUGUAGCAAUACAGGGAAACGUCUAGCGGCGAACGGGUGCUUAACACGUGGGCAACCUGCCGAGAAGUGGGGGAUAGCUCGCCGAAAGGCGAAUUAAUACCGCAUGUGGUCAGAAUGGACAUCCAUUCGAAAUCAAAGUCGGGGCAACCUGACGCUUCUUGAGGGGCCCGCGGCCUAUCAGCUAGUUGGUGAGGUAACGGCCCACCAAGGCUAUGACGGGUAGCUGGUCUGAGAGGACGACCAGCCACACUGGGACUGAGAACACGGCCCAGACACCUACGGGUGGCAGCAGUCGAGAAUUUUUCUCAAUGGGGGAAACCCUGAAGGAGCGACGCCGCGUGGAGGAUGAAGGUCUUCGGAUUGUAAACUCCUGUCAUUGGGGAACAAUGCGUAAAUAUUAACUGUAUUUGCGUUGAUAGUACCCGAAGAGGAAGAGACGGCUAACUCUGUGCCAGCAGCCGCGGUAAUACAGAGGUCUCAAGCGUUGUUCGGAUUCAUUGGGCGUAAAGGGUGCGUAGGCGGCGCGGUAAGUCGGGUGUGAAAUCUCGGAGCUUAACUCCGAAACUGCAUUCGAUACUGCCGUGCUUGAGGACUGGAGAGGAGACUGGAAUUUACGGUGUAGCGGUGAAAUGCGUAGAUAUCGUAAGGAAGACCAGUGGCGAAGGCGGGUCUCUGGACAGUUCCUGACGCUGAGGCACGAAGGCCAGGGGAGCAAACGGGAUUAGAUACCCCGGUAGUCCUGGCAGUAAACGGUGCACGUUUGGUGUGGGAGGAUUCGACCCCUUCUGCGCCGGAGCUAACGCGUUAAACGUGCCGCCUGGGGGAGUACGGUCGCAAGAUUAACACUCAGAGAAAUUGACGGG